UGGGGAAUAUUGGACAAUGGGCGCAAGCCUGAUCCAGCCAUGCCGCGUGUGUGAAGAAGGCCUUUUGGUUGUAAAGCACUUUAAGCGAGGAGGAGGCUACUUGGAUUAAUACUCUAGGAUAGUGGACGUUACUCGCAGAAUAAGCACCGGCUAACUCUGUGCCAGCAGCCGCGGUAAUACAGAGGGUGCGAGCGUUAAUCGGAUUUACUGGGCGUAAAGCGUGCGUAGGCGGCUUCUUAAGUCGGAUGUGAAAUCCCUGAGCUUAACUUAGGAAUUGCAUUCGAUACUGGGAAGCUAGAGUAUGGGAGAGGAUGGUAGAAUUCCAGGUGUAGCGGUGAAAUGCGUAGAGAUCUGGAGGAAUACCGAUGGCGAAGGCAGCCAACUGGCCUAAUACUGACGCUGAGGUACGAAAGCAUGGGGAGCAAACAGG
This 430-nucleotide ribosomal RNA is filed under the name Acidobacteriota bacterium. Its description in RNAcentral is "Acidobacteria bacterium partial 16S ribosomal RNA". It matches the Rfam family "Bacterial small subunit ribosomal RNA", at positions 355 to 776 of the family's 1533-position model. Lineage: Bacteria; Pseudomonadati; Acidobacteriota. The record is from RNAcentral.